GCCCACGUGGCGAAAUUGGAUAUCGCUUCGGACUUCUAAUCCGAGGAUUGCGGGUUCGACCCCCGUCGUGGGUA
RNAcentral lists this transfer RNA (74 nucleotides) under Cunninghamella echinulata. RNAcentral describes it as "tRNA-Arg". It matches the Rfam family "tRNA". Rfam says of the family: Transfer RNA (tRNA) molecules are approximately 80 nucleotides in length. Lineage: Eukaryota; Fungi; Mucoromycota; Mucoromycetes; Mucorales; Cunninghamellaceae. RNAcentral also lists the same sequence under 1 other name. The record is from RNAcentral.